GGAAUAUUGGACAAUGGGUGAGAGCCUGAUCCAGCCAUCCCGCGUGAAGGACGAAGGACCUAUGGUUUGUAAACUUCUUUUGUACAGGGAUAAACCUAUCUACGUGUAGAUAGCUGAAGGUACUGUACGAAUAAGCACCGGCUAACUCCGUGCCAGCAGCCGCGGUAAUACGGAGGGUGCGAGCGUUAUCCGGAUUUAUUGGGUUUAAAGGGUCCGUAGGCGGAUUGGUAAGUCAGUGGUGAAAUCCUACAGCUCAACUGUAGAACUGCCAUUGAUACUGCUAGUCUUGAGUGUAAUUGAAGUAGCUGGAAUGAGUAGUGUAGCGGUGAAAUGCAUAGAUAUUACUCAGAACACCGAUAGCGAAGGCAGGUUACUAAGUUACAACUGACGCUGAUGGACGAAAGCGUGGGGAGCGAACAG
This 420-nucleotide ribosomal RNA is filed under the name Klebsiella pneumoniae. RNAcentral's name for it is "bacterial SSU rRNA". It matches the Rfam family "Bacterial small subunit ribosomal RNA", at positions 358 to 775 of the family's 1533-position model. The record is from RNAcentral. Lineage: Bacteria; Pseudomonadati; Pseudomonadota; Gammaproteobacteria; Enterobacterales; Enterobacteriaceae.